UGCGAAGUCCUUGUUGAGGUUUUGCUUC
This 28-nucleotide non-coding RNA is filed under the name Rattus norvegicus (Norway rat). Lineage: Eukaryota; Metazoa; Chordata; Mammalia; Rodentia; Muridae. The record is from RNAcentral.